AGAGAGAUGAAGGUUAGGAGAAAGGGGGAGGCGAUUGGCGGCUUUGCUAACCGUUGCGGCUGUCGGAAAUCGAAGCUUGUUGUGUUGGCCUUGCUAACCGCUGCGGCUGCCGGAUUUCAGAGGGAGGCUGGCGGCUGAGUUGCCGGAGGAGGCGGCUCUCUCCUUAGCGAUUUAGCGAUUGAGUGUUUUGUGUGGGUGUUAAUUAAGAAAUAAAAUAAUACUAAUUAAAACACUAAUUAUGUGGUCCCUACUGUUUUUACAUCUAUUUUAACUCUCCUAAAUACCCGUGCCCAAAAGAAAGGGGACUUCAUUAUUGGGACGGAGGGAGUAUUAUAAUUACAGAAUUUUGAGAUUGACAAUAAUAAAAUAUAAUAAAAUUUAUAUAAUUAUACAUAUAUAAUUAAUAUAUAUAGAAAAUGUUGUUUUCCGUAAAAAGGUUUUAACGAGGCUCGGCCCUUAGUCUGCUUUCUUGUGCUCUCAAGGUUCAUUAGGUUUUUUCUUUUUCUUUCUUUAUAAAAUUGCAUUUUAAUAAUAUAGAAAAUGUUGUGGGGGCACGUGCCCCCGUACUGGGAGCCGUGGAUCCGUCUCUGAAUAUAGGCAACAAUCAAAAUCAAGGUCGAGACAAUUUGGAUCAAGACUGUGAAACACUCAGAAGGGACAUUAUGUUUACUUGCAUAGGCACUUGUUACUGAACUAAAAUGUUUGAGCACAAGUAUUAUGAGGUAUAACAGGUAAUGUCUGCAAUAUUCGUGAAAAACUUUCAAGUUCGAGAGUAAGCCCAGAAGUCACGAGAUCAACUAGUUACUCCCCAUUUUCCAAGCACCUCUGAUCAGGCCUCAAUCUUGAAUCUGUUGUCUCCUGCAAAAAGGUGUUGAAUCCAAUGUCACGAAACUUAAAACGACACAUUCCCAAUAUGUGUACCACAGCAUAUGGAUUGCACACUUUGAACACCAAGGCAGCAUCCGAAUCUAAUGGGUCAAAUUAUGUACUCAUAGAAGCAUUAUUGACUUCUUCCUAUGGGAUCAAGUUUGUGAGACGGUCUAACAAGAGACCUAUCUUCAAAUAUUAAUACAACCAAACACAACUAUUUCACAGCAAAAUAUUUUUUUUGACUGCAACAUGCUGCAAAAUAUAAUUGGCAAACUGGCUUAGAAAGGUAACAAAGGGAAAUUAAUAAGAUCACCAUUAAUCCUGGAGUAAGCUCAUUCAUUGUGAUGGCAAAGCGAGUCAAGUUAUAACGUGUUCCAUAGUAAUCGAGCUUCAGAUAGAGAUUCAUGACCUUUUCCUUUGGAGCAAUCUCCAUCAACAUAGUGCAUGCUCUCAUCCCAUUUCCCAAACAAAGUUGCCACAGUCUUUCCACUCUUGUCUUGGACAACUUCCUGCACCUGCAUUCUCAAAGUUGCUUUUAUGGAGAAAUCCUGAAGAAUAAUACUCCAGAAGCAUCUAUCUAUUAUUUAAUAGAUUACAUAUUCAAGGACUCCCCUUAAUUCAAGAUCCUAUGUGGCACAUCCUCUAUUCUCUAUUCUAAUUUAUCUUAAAUCCUCAUUUAAUCAUUCUAAUCUAUACAUUCUAUCAUCCCACAUUGAAUUUAUAGUAGUCAAUGACUACUAGAGAACACAUAUAAAAGGAUUAGAUAUAAUGUGUAUUUCUCCAUCCCUCAAUUAUUUUGCACAUUUAAUUAAAUUUGAUUUAUUAAUUAGUUGGCCAAAUAAAUAGUUUUAUUUUUAUUGAAAAUUUUGUUUUUAUCAAUUAUUAAAACGUCAAUGCUAAUUGGCUAAGUAAUUGAUUUUUUUUAAUUAGAAAAUAUUUAAGUUCACAAAAUUAUAAGUUGACGUAAUUUGAAGAAUCGUAGAAUUGCAUUUCUCCAUAUGUUAAAUAUUUGAGCAAAUAAUUAGAAAAUAUUUGCUAGAUUUUUAUAAUUUUUGAAACAUAAAUUUUUAAACUGAUGUAUCCCCUUAGAAAAAAUUGUCAUGAUUAUGUGAUUUUCUCUAUUUUUUAAUUUUAUUCAUCUCAAGUCCUCAUUUUAAUUAUUUUUUAUCCAAUCCCACAUCAAAUUUAUAGUAGUGUAUGCCUACUAGAGAACAUAUAUAAAAUGAUUAGAUACAAUGUGUAUUUUUCCAUAUUUCAAGUAUUUGCACCUCCAAAUAAACAUAUAGUAGUGUAUGCCUACUAGAGAACAUAUAUAAAAUGACUUGAAGAAAUAUAGAAUUGCAUUUCUUCGUAUGCUAAAUAUUUGAGCAAAUAAUUAGAAGAAAAUAUUUGAAAAAUUAUUAGAAUUAUGAAACAUAAACUUUUAAACUGAUAGUAUAAGAUAAAAUCAAUAUACUUCUCUUAGAAAAAAUUAACAUGUAUGAUUAUACGAUUUUCUCUAUUCCUUAUUUUUAAUCAUUUUUAUCCAUAUCUUCUCCAAUACCACAUCAAAUUUAUAGUAGUCUAUCAUUACUAGAGAACAUAUAUAAAAGGAGUAGAUAUAAUAUGUAUUUUCCCAUCCCUGAAUUAUUUUGCACCUCAAAUUAAAUUUGGUCAGUUAAUUAGUUGGUCAAAUAAAUAAUUUUAUUUUUAUUGAAAAUAUUAUUUUGAUCUAUUAUUAAGAUGUCUAGCUAAGUAAAUGAUUUAAUUUUAACUAGCAUUUACACCCCGUGCAAUGAACGGAAAAAUAUUUUAAAUUUUUUUAUUUAUAUUAAAGUAAUACUAAUUUAAUUAUCAUACUUAUAAAUAUAUAUAUAUAUUUAUAUUUUAACUGAAUAUAUUUGAGCAAAUAAAUAGAAGAAAAUAUUUUCCGGAUUUUAGAAAUUGUCAUGGAUGAUUAUACGAUUUUCUCUAUUCUCUAUUUUUAUUUUUCUUAUGUCCUUAUUUUAAUCAUUUUUAUCCAUAUAUUCUUCAAUCCUAUAUCUAAUUUAUAGUAGUCUAUGACUACUAGAGAAUAUAUAUAUAAAAGGAUUAGAUAUAACGGUAAAUAUUACUUUAAACCCCAAAUUAUGUUCACACAAUUAAUUAUAUCUUGAACUAUUGAAAAAUAUUUUUUAAGACUUAAACUAUCGAUUUUGUAUUAAUUGUACCCUUCAUCCAUUUUUCACUCCUUAAAUUUUCAAUUAAUAAAGCAUAUAAUGAUGUUGUUUUAUGGAGUAUAAAGCAUGUUAAAAAAGGAUUGAUUUUGAAUAAUCAUAACAUCCGGCGAGCCACGUCAAAUUUUCAGAGCCAAAAAAAUAGACGAGUGGUGCAAUUGAUACAAAAUUAAUAAUUCAAGGUUUGUAAAAAAAAUCUAUAAUUAAGGAUAUAAUUGAUAGUGUAAAAAUAAUUUGAGGUUUAAAGUAAUACUAGCAUUUGCACACCGUGCAAUGCACGGGAAACUUUAAACUUUUAUAUUUAUAUAAAACUGAUAUCAACUCAAUUAUCAUAUCUAUAAAUAUAAUUUAAAAAUAGUUUUAACUUAAUAUAUUAAUUUGAAAUGUAUAUUGAAAAAAUAAAAAAAUUACAAUAAUAAAAAUUGAUGUAAUGAAAAGAAAAAAAUUACAAUAUACUCCCUCCGUCCCAUGAAGCAAGAUCAAGUUUCCUUUUUGGUCUGUCCCACGAAGCAAGACCAGUUUCUAAAAGUAGCAAAAAAUUUACUCUUUAUUCACCUUUUCACUUUUUCAUCUACCACACUUAACACACAAAAUACCAAUUUCGAACUUGGUCUUGCUUCAUGGAACGGAGGGAGUAUAUUGCAUACUGCAUUCAAUCCAGAAGUUUUUAAAGAUAGAGAUAUUUUGGAGUAACUAACGAGAUGAUUAUUCGUGUAAAUUUUGCCGGCAUCAUUAACCAAUUAUUGAUUUAUAUUUUGUUUAUUUAUAUACAUAUUUUAUAAAUUUAAAUAACUUCAAGAAAUUAAUUGGUAUUACACACACACAUAGAUAUAUAUAUAUAUAUAUAUAUGUAUAUGUAUAUAUAUGGGUUUGGGACGAUAAUAAUAUUAAUAUCAUCACAUAUAUAAUUAGAAAAUGGAAUACUCCUAUGUAGCAUCACCAUAGUUAUGCAUUUUUAUCUAUCCUAUUUCUCAAAAAAAAAAAAAAACAUAUUUAUUAAUUCUUAUUUAUCUAAAUCUUCUCAUCCCACAUUGAUUUUUUUUAUGAAAAUUUACCAAUUGAAAUACUAAAUAAAUUGAUACUAUAAUUUGAAUCUCGUAUCAAUUUGUUAAGUCUUAGACGAGAUGAUUCUCAAAACUUAGUUAUGGUCUUUCAAACUUCAAAUAAGAUGAUGCUUACCCAGUUUUAUUCUUUCAAACUCCAAACGAAAUGAUGGUUGAAAUUCAGUUAUUCUAUUUUAAGCUCCAAAUGAGAUGAUGCACAUAACUAUAUAUGUUAUGGUUUUUGAAGCUCCAUACAAGAUGAUGUUUAGAAGUUAGUUAUGGUAUUUUAAACUCCAAAUGAGAUGAUGCACAUAAUCAUGUUAUGGUUUUUCAAGCUCCAUACAAGAUGAUAUUUAAAAGUUAGUUAUGAUCUUAUAAGCUUCAGAUUGUAUAAUCUCACAAAUCAGCCCUGAUCUUUCAAGCUCCUAAUGAAAAUAAUGUUUAGAAGUAAGUUAUGAUAUUUAAAGUAUCAAAUAAUGAUGUUCAAACGAUUGACGCAUAAAAGCCAGAUAUAUUGUUUCAGGGUCCAGACGAGAUAAUCCUAAAAAAUUUGGCGUUCAAAAGUUAAAUAUUGUCUUUCGAGUUCUUGAUGAUCCUCUGGUCUUAUAGAGUUGAGAUGGGAUGAUGCUUAUAUGACAUAUGAGAUCUUAAAUUAAUUUUUACCUGUCAAUAUAAAAAAAUUGUACAAAAUUUAUAUAAAAGAGUAUUUUUAUUAUUCUAGCAAAAAAUGAACAUUUAAUUGACGAAUAUAGUUGAAAUUAAUAUAACAUAAACUCUAUUAAAAAUAAUAUAAAUAAUUUAAAUCAAAAUUUAAAGUCCCGUCGAAUUUCGACGGGUUAUACACUAGUAGUUACAUGAAAGCAUCAACUUGUCAAGAUAUAAGAUAAGUUAUCAGGAGAAUCUUCAUCUAGCACCAAAUAUUGUUGCAGAAAUAUGCUGAGACGCUAUUCAGUUUGCAGGGUUUAGUUAUUUUACAAUUGUACACGCACCAACAAAAUUAAGAUAACUCAGUUUCAUCAACAUAUAUAAGCCUGAUUCGAAAUGUGUACAAGCCUUUGAUUCCAUGAAACAUAAUGGUCCAUUUCCAUUUAUACGACAUUAUUUAAGAUGGUUUAUACCAGAAUAAAUGUUGACAUUUUCAUUUUCAUUAGCAUGGUAAAUAGAACCAUGUUUUGCAUUUUAGUGAUUCAUGGAUUAAAAAGAAAUUAAACCAAAAUUUAUAUCAUCAAACAUUUCCAUCUUGUUUAUAUUAACUUUUUCAUUUCGCAGGACACUUUUUCUUUCUUAUUGUAAAAGAGAAAAGACAUAAAACAUAAUUUCACAUGCCUCAAGAAAAAGAGAAAAAAACCAAAGUUACCUACUUUAGAUAGGUAUAAAAGAUAUUAAUGGUAUGAGAGAGCACCUGAUGAGGAUUCCGGUCUAUGAUGGACUGCUCCUUGAAUAAUUAAAUGUGGUAAUGUGGUGUGGUCCACCAAAAAGUAUGAGUACUCUUUUUAUGAAAAGACUAAAUAGUACUCUCUUAUUAUUACUUAAUAAAGCCUUAAACAUUUCCAUAUUAAGACUGAGCCAAUUGGAGUGGGACAACCUAAAAUGGAAAAUGAGGCUAUUGGAGUGGGACGAAUGUAGUAAUAUUAUUAUUAAUAAUUUUAAUUUUUUUAGUUUAUUAAUCACUAAUUUGGAUAGUUCUAAUUAUUGUUAUUUUCAUCAUUAUAUGAUACUAAUUAUUGUUAUUUUCAAGUUUAUAUAAUAUUUAUGUUGUUAUUUUCGUGUCAGAAGUUGAAGAUAUGAAAUUAUUUUAUUUUUUUAUUUUUCUUUUGUUAGAGAAUGCUACUUGAUAUUGGUGUAACUAGGGUUGUCGAUCGGUUCGGGUUCGGUUAUCCGUACCCGAAUUUUCGGUUACCCGAACCCGAAAUUGUCAUAUUUCACUAACCGUUUUCGAACCGUUUUAGGUAUUCGGUUACCCAAUAACCGCUUCGGUUACCCGAUUCGGUUAUUUGUGUAUCCGAAAUACCCAUUUAAAAAAUUUAAAUUUAAAUAAUUUGCUAGAUAGAGGAUUUGAACCUUAGUCUCUAAAAAAUACACAAAGCAACUUAUCCAUUAGACUAAAGCUCAUUUUUAUACCUUAAAUAUAUCAUAAUUUUAUUUUAGCUAAAAAUCGAUUUAAAAAAAUAAAUUAAUUAAUUAAUGAAUUAAUAAUUAAAAAAUAUAUAUAAUAUAAUAUUAAAUAAUUUUUGGUUAUUUUGGUUGGGUUAACCGAUACUCGAAAUUUUUCUAAAAAUGAUACCCGAAACCGAACCGAUAAUCAAAAAAUUCGAUUAUUGGAUACCCAAACCCGAGAAAUUCUGUUCUGUUAACGGAUUAUCCAAAACCCGAUAACCAAUUAGACAGCCCUAGGUGUAACAAUGAUGUUAUUCAAAUUGCGCCCACCCUAAUAAAUUAUGAAGGACUUGCAUCGGUGGACCGGUGGUUCAUUUCAACCAAUACAAGCUUGAUGGCGAACUAUAUUAUGUAUUAAUUUCACCACAAAUUGCUUACUUUUUCAACAUCUCCCCUACUCAACUUUCACAUCACAACUUAACCAUCAAAUUGAGUAAAACUAGAAAGUCAACCGUUUUCCUUAGAUAGUACUCCAUCCGUCCCAAUUUUUAGUAUCCAAAUUUCUUUUUUGAUCCUCCCAUAUUUUGGUAUUUAUUUUAAUUUUUCAUAAAAGUAGGUGGGGUCCUUACUCCACUAUAAUUAUUUUAACUCUCACAUAAAAAGUUAGACCCUUAUUCCACUUACAACACACCAAUCACUUUAUUAAAAUACGUGCCGUUCUCAAUUGGAUACCAAAAGUCGGGACGGAGGGAGUAUGAAAUAUUAAAUUUGAAUUACACGUUGUCAACAUUUGACGCACUAAGAACGUGAUACCGUGACAGAGGGCUUCCAAGACAUUACGAGACAAAAUACAUGCAUAGGUAAAAUAGAAAUAAAAAUUUUGAAUAUAAAAAAAGUUAUUAUUAUUAUUAUUAUUAUUAUUUUUAAUCUGAAAUUUUUUAAUGCACAUGAUUGAACAUAAAAAUACAUGUUUAUAAACAUAAAUUUGCAUAACUUUGCACACAAAAAUGCAUUGCAUAUUUUGUGGCAACAACAUGCAUAUUUUUGUGUGCAAAGUUAUGCACGAUCUCUAUUUAAUUAUAUAUAUAUAUAUAUAUAUAUAUAUAUAUUUUAAUAGUUGAAAAUAAUUUUUUUAUCUUUGAGGGGGUUGAAAAGUAGUCUUGGUAGCAUUAAAUUCUAUCUGUGCCAUGCAUAUACAACAAAUUUAUAGUGUCCAAAUCAUACAGCUUUGCAAAUAUUGUCCAAAAUUUAUUCUGGUCCAUCCAAAGCUCCAUUGUAUAUCACGAACUCUUGAGCAAUAUAUAUAACCUUUAUUACAACAUAAAUAAUCAAAUUAAUCAUCAUCUCAUAUUGAGACGCGUUAAAUUGUUUUUUCCUAAAUCCAUACAUGAUAAAUACCAAAAAUAUUUAUAAAUACGAGCUUAAUUAGAUCUGAUCUUGGCCAAAAAAAUUAUAUAUAUAUAUUUCUUUAACGUGAGAUUUGCUCACCUGCAAAUUAUAAGUCAUGUACCACGAAUUCGAUUUAUGGUUAAACAAAACCUAGUCACUCUAGGAAAUUGUUUACCUGAAAAUAUAUAUAUCCCAAUAUUAUUUUUACCUCAAUUUUUAUGGUUGACUUGCUGAAUUAGUCAAAGUAUAAGCAAACAAUUCGUGUAUUUGACAAAGAGUUGAACACUUGAAGUAGCUAGCUAGUGACUUAGUAAGAACAAGCCAAACAAUAAAUUAAUUUGAGAAAAAGGAGAUUAUCAUGUUAGAUUGUCUCAUCAUAAACGAUCAAUAAUUUGGAUUGCAAACUCCUAUUUCACUAACAAUACUAUUAUAGAUAUUCUGAUACAAUUGAAUAUAAAUUUAUAUCUAUAUCUUGACACGUGUCAUGAUGGAAAAAUCUUACACAAUAAUUUGUAUUUGAAAAGAUGAAAUUUGGCAGACGCCAAUUCAAUUACAAUAUGCUAAAAUUCUUGGGUUUUAUAUACAAUCGAAUUCCCUAAUUGAUCACACCGACAAAUUCUAAACCAAACUUCAAAUUCAACUCUAGCUAAAUUCUAGGUUUUCUCCAACUGAAUAACUCUUAAAAAAAGUUUAAAUACAAUCAUAAUAUACGAAAAGUUUAACCAACACAAAAUCUUAUGUAGCAAUGCUUUUCUCUAUAGCACUUGAAUCCAGAUAACGAUAAAUGACUCGCCUAACAGAUCUUAACUUAUCGAGCCGUAUUACACGAGACUUGCUUUUAAUCAACAGAAAAAAUUUAUGUAAGAUAAUCUGACGAGUCAAGAUCUAUCACUCAUAUAGUUAAUAAUUUUAAAAUAUUUUAUCGUGCUCGAAAUCCGUAUUACACGAUACUUGCUCUUUAAUCAACACAAAAACUUAUGUAAGAUAGUUUGACGAGUCAAGAUCUAUCACUCAUAUAUUCAAUAAUUUUAAAAACUUGUCGGGCCAUAUUACACGAAACUGCCCUAUUACGUGAGACUUGCUUUUAAUCAACACAAAACCUCACGCAAGACAGUCUAACGAGCUAAGAUCUAUCACUCACAUAUCCAAUUAUAUAUAUUUAUAAUUCAAAAUUACUUUAUAGUGCUUCAAAAUUCAGAUAAUGACUCGUCUAACAAAUCUUAACUAGUUCGAACCGUUUAACACAUAAAGAUGUCACUUUCUUGCAUUAGUGAUAGGCUAUAACUAGUCACGCUAGGGGGAGACGUGGUCUUGAGCAAGUCAAUGGACACGCCAUAGGAAAAGAUCCACAACACGAAAAGACCAAAAUACCCAUCCCUAGCCUCGUAUAAUCCUCGUCAUUCACAAGGGCAAUUUAGUGAAAUCAAACCUAAUAUUUUUCAAACGUUAGAAGCUUUAUAAAUUGGUCUGUUAGAAGACAAAGGAAAACGGCUUUCAUUGUAAUCUUGACAACUGCCACACAUUCACCAGGGCUAAUAUAAAACACACACAACACACACUCAUAUAUCCCUCUGUCUUUUUCCAAUUUUAUUAUUCCCUUGUCUUUAAAAUUAAAUUUCUUUUGGGGAAAUUCGGAAAGUGGCUUUAUUUAUUUAUUUUGUUAUUUGAUAUAUAAAAAUAAUUCGAGGGGUCUGGAAAUUACGUUAGGGUCAUAUUGUUGCAUUCCCUUUCUGCGGCCGGGGGCGUCAAGUUUCCAACUUUGAGGGAGAUCUCAUUUGGGUUUUGUUUGGUUUGAUUUGGGUCUGCAUUUCUUGAUCUCGAGAUAAAGAGGGUGAUUGUUUGGUGAUUUUAGAGAGAGAAAGGGGAGAGAGAGAGAGAUGAGCGGUGUAUCAAGAAUUUGGGAGAAGGUGAAUAUGAUGGCGGAAGGAGGAUCUCGGAAUUGUUCCAAGAAAUCUGAUGAUAUAUGUGGCGAUGCCUGUGGUGAGGUAAAAAAAAAUCAUCUUUUUUUAGGGGGUUGCGUUUUUUGCUAAUGUAUGGCAUAAAAAGAGUGUGGGUUUUUUCCUCGCCUUUUUUCUUUUUAAAAUUCUUGAAUGUCUUGUUUCGGUUUUCGUUUGGGUGGGGAUUGUGGUUUGCUUUUUAGAUUCUGUAAAAAAAAAAUUAUUUUUUUAUUUUAUUGAUGAAACAUCAAUGGAUAAAUUUUUGAUUUUGGACUAUUGGGAUGAGGGAACAUUUGAAAUUUCGUUUUGUUUAGAGCAAUUUUGAGCUGUAGUUUUGUGUGUGUGUGUGUUUUAUUGAGGGAUUAGAUCAAAUUCCCCCAUUUAUGUAAUUAUUAUUUCUGGGAAUAUAUCAGCGUGAAGAAAUUUUAAGAUCCUGUGAUUUUUCGUUUGAAUUAUUUUGUGAAUGUUGCUUUUUUCUGGUUUAUCUACCGUUAUACCUCAUUUGAUUGGAGUGGGAUCUGAAAGAAUGUCCUGUUCUCAAUAAUAUUAUUUGGCACUUGCUUGAAUUUUCAAUUUUAUUGCUCUUAUCUUAUGCCUUGCAGGAAUUAUUCUGUGAUUUGUUGUAUGGUUUUCAUUAAUCUAUUGAAAGUCAUUAAAAAUGUUGUAGGGAAAGUAAGAUUCUUGCUUUAUUUGCAAUCUGUGAGGUCCAUAUUUGAAUAGCAUCACAAUGGAGAGAAUCUAGCUGUGGAAGUUGUGUAUAUGUUGGUUCGAGUUCGUGUUGAAUCGUAUGUAUGAUUGUUGCAGUUUUUCUAAUAAAUUUGGUGUUUGUGAAAAUUGCAGGAUUCAGGAAGGGCUUUGAGCAUGGCCAGAUUGAGAUGUAUUCUGCGGGGGCUGGAUUUCAAAGCAUUGCUCUUUCUCUUUGUGUUGAUCCCGACGUGUGUCUUUGUUAUAUAUGUCCACGGCCAAAAGAUCACGUACUUUCUGAGACCGUUAUGGGAGUCCCCGCCCAAGCCUUUCCACGAGAGACCUCACUACUAUCACGAGAAUGUGUCAAUGGAGAAUCUGUGUAAGCUUCAUGGUUGGGGGAUACGUGAGUACCCUAGACGUGUCUAUGAUGCAGUGCUGUUCAGCAACGAGGUGGACAUCCUCAAGAUGCGUUGGAAGGAGUUGUAUCCGUAUGUGACAGAGUUUGUCCUCCUUGAGUCGAAUUCCACCUUCACCGGGCUGCCAAAGCCCAACCUCUUCUCAACUGUCCGCGAUCAGUUCAAAUUUGUUGAGCCCCGUUUGACCUAUGGGCAGGUCCCGGGGAGAUUCAAGACGGGAGAGAACCCUUUUGUUGAGGAGGCGUAUCAGAGAUACACGUUGGAUUAUCUUCUCAAGCAAGCCGGCAUUCAGGAUGAUGACCUUUUGAUAAUGUCGGAUGUUGAUGAGAUCCCAAGUAGGCACACGAUCAAUCUCUUGAGGUGGUGCGAUGACAUACCCCCGAUCCUUCAUCUUCGUCUCAAGAACUAUCUGUACUCGUUCGAGUUUUUCCUUGACAACAACAGCUGGAGAGCCUCUGUCCAUGUAUACCAAUCUGGCAAGACGAGAUAUGCUCACUACCGACAGUCUGAUGAGAUCUUGGCUGAUGCAGGGUGGCAUUGUAGCUUCUGCUUCAAACGCAUCAGCGAAUUCAUAUUCAAGAUGAAGGCUUACAGCCACGUGGAUCGGGUGAGAUUCUCUCAUUUUCUGAGCCCUAAGAGGAUCCAGAAAGUGAUCUGCAAAGGUGCUGAUUUGUUUGACAUGCUGCCCGAGGAGUAUACGUUCAAGGAGAUAAUCGGGAAGAUGGGGCCGAUCCCACAUUCCUAUUCGGCCGUUCAUCUCCCUGCAUAUCUCUUGGAGGCAGCUGAUCAAUACAAAUUCCUCUUACCUGGGAAUUGCAUAAGGGAAAGAGAGAGUGGCUGAGCUACACGAACGAGGUCGUGUAUCUUCUUGUACAGGUGGAGGAAGCAAGCUUCAGCUCGACUCCCGGGUAAGGGUGACCUUUAACCAAAUUCAUGGCUGCAGUGUGUGUUGUUUUUAUAACCAUGCUACAUACAUGUUCAGCCUACUUAUAUCAUUCUUGCCUUCGAGCUUUUGAGAAAACAAAGAAAAAAAAUGACAGACAUAUCUCGGACUUUACUAGAUUGAGGUUUGUAUAUAAUCGUUCGUAGACUUGAUUUUCAUGCAACCGGAUAGUGCACUGAGCGAGAGAAACGAAAAGAAAAGAAAACGGGCUCUGCUAGGAACUACUUGUUGUAACUAGGGCGUUUCCAUAAUACAUAAACGCGCUAUGACUGUGCAUUACGCCCCCUUGAAGGCGGGGGGUUGGUUCAUCGUUGUUGCUGGCCGUUUUUCUGUCUCUAGGAAAAUUUUUGGUGUGAGCAGUGAGCUAAUAUAUUCAUCUGCAGAUUGUGAAACAUGCUGUAGUGCUUUCUUGAUUUUGGAUCUUCUCUCAAACUGUUUUUUUAUUUUUUCAAUGGAGAUAUGAUGUGAUGAUUCAGCUCUUUCUUGAGAUUUUCUUGCUAUUCUUUCCUCAAUUUUUACAGCUAAGUUUUGUCUGAAAACAGAGGAUUCUUGGCUUUGUGAAGCAUUGUUUGUUGAUGGAUAGCUGGUUUCUUGUUUGUUGAUGAACUAAGAAAUUAUGUGUGGGAAGAAAAAGAAUUAAAGAAAAAAGUCAAAUGAAAUAAAGAAUCUGAUACCCUCAAUAAUUUAUGAUGGUUUUUUGUCAUUGUUCAAGGUUGGCAUGUCCGAAUAUUUUUUCUAUUUCAAGAAAAUAUAAUCAUUAAUUGCCACUGAUGUGCAGCUCAUUACAUUUGCUUUAUUCAACACUUGCAAGUUACUACUAUAAUUUAAAUUAAAACCUUAUUAUACUUCAAAAUCUUUGUGAUCAUAUUAUAAUUGGCUACAUCAAUAAGGGCUUGUUCAUCAAGAUUGGCACUCAACCUUCAAAUACAUGAACUUCUAUUAUUUCUAUUUUUCACAUGGUUCUCAAUUAUCCUCAAAUUAAUAGCGAUAUGGACGCCUAGAAUGUUUACAUGACUUAAACGAUAGAUGACAAAACGAUAUAGUUGGAUGUCUAUGCAAUUUUAAUUGGUCACGUUGAUAUUAAUUUGUUAUGUCAACUUGCCACUAUGGUAUUAACUGUGAAAAAUUUCAAAUGAUUGGAACUUCAUGUAUUUAGGCGCAAUUAUUCUUUGAAAAUCAGACAGUUAGAAUCACAACUGUUGAUUAGAAGUGAUGCAAGAUUCUUUCCCAAGUGGGAUCAAAAGCUGUAAGAAAUUCCUCAGAGAAAUUACCAAAAAGGAAUUGAAUUCCACAAAAUAUAAAACAAUAUUACCCCAUAAUGGGAAUUGAAUCAGAUGCAUCCCCAUCUCAAAAACAAAAAAAAAACUAUAAGUAGCAGACACUAACACCAAUCAAUCUAUCAAGAGAGAGAGAGAGAGAGAGUCAAGAAAAUGCAGAUGUACAAGGAAGUAGUGGAGGAAUAUGAAUACAGCUACAGCAACAAUGGCUCAGACAUGCACAUGAUGAAGCCUGCUGCUGCACAGCACAGCUACAAUCAGAGCCAUGGCCAUGCGCCCGAGACGAGGUACGAGGAUGGCUGGGGCGGCGCCAAGAAUAAUGACCAUUAUGCCCUCGGUGGCAAGGUGCAUCACGGCGGCAAUGAGGGGAUGAAGCACGGUGGAUAGGGGCUGAUCAGGGGCAUUUUGGUCAUUACAAGGAGGGGAUGGGGAUGAAGCACGGCGGAUAUGGGGGCGAUCAGGGGCAUUUUGGUCAUUAUAAGGAGGUGAUGGGAUGAAGAA
RNAcentral lists this long non-coding RNA (13355 nucleotides) under Salvia miltiorrhiza (redroot sage). RNAcentral's name for it is "long non-coding RNA (SMIL_LNC007480)". The record is from RNAcentral. Lineage: Eukaryota; Viridiplantae; Streptophyta; Magnoliopsida; Lamiales; Lamiaceae.